AAAUAAAAGAACAUGAUGUUGGUUCAGAUUAAAUGCUAUGUAGAGACAUAACACAUGCAAGUUAAAUUAAAUUUAGCGUACAGGUGAGUAAAUAAGGAAAUAAAGAUCCUUAAUCAGAUGUAGGUAAUAGAAGAAAUUCUAGCCAUAGAACUGAAACCGAUAAUGAGAGUUAGAACGGUCACAUUAAUAGAAACCUUUAUUAAAAAAUAAAGUCCUAUAUUAACUUUUAUAUAAAGCAGCAGUGAGGAAUAUUUGACAAUGGUCUAACGACUGAUCGAGUUAUCUACGAGGAGGAAAUUAAAAAUAAAAAAAAAAAAAUAAUAAAAGAAAAACUAUAAACUCCAAAUAAAUAUUAAUAAUGAUAAUAUUUAUAGAUAGUCCUAACUAAAAUAUGUGCCAGCAGUUGCGGUUAGACAUAGAGGGCUAGCAUUGGUCAAAAUGGCUUAAAGGGUCUGUAGAACGAUUAUAAUCAUCAAAAGAUGAUAAUCUUAUUAUUAUAUAAUAUUAUAUAUAUAUAUAAUAAUAAGAAAAUUAGAAUAUAUAAAAGGUAAUAAGAACUAAUCUAAGAGAGAUAAAAUGCAUAGAAUAGAUUAUGACUAUAAAGAGAUUACUUAAAAUAUAUUGACGUUGUGAGACGAAGGCUACGGGAAUGACAUGGAUUCGAUACCCAUUUAAUCGUAGCAGUAAACUAUGAGUACAAUAAAUUAUAACAAGUGAAAAUGAAUAGUACUCCGCCUGACUAGUACGCUCGCAAGGGUGAAAUACAAGACAUUAGACGGUUGUAGUCACAAGCAGUGGAACAUGUUAUUUAAUUGGAUAAUCCCCCUUAAACCUUACCAUUAUUUGAAUAUUUUAUAUAUAAUUCAUUAUAUGAAUUAUAUAUUUUAUACAGGCGUUACAUCGUUGUCGUCAGUUCAUGCCAUGAGGUAUAAUAUUAAGUUAUUAAAUGAACGUAAUCCUUUUUAAUUUAUGUAUUAUCGAAAGGUAAUAGGAAGUAGAGGUAGAAGACUAAUCAUGAUGACCCUUAUAUAAUGGGCAAUAGACGUGUUACAAUAUUAUCUACAAUUAUAUUAAUAAUAAAAUUUAAUUAAUUUAAAAGAUAAGAUUAUGAAAUUUUUCAAUAAAGGAUUAUAGCCUGCAAUUUGGCUAUAUGAAGGAGGAAUUGCUAGUAAUCGUAAACUAGAGUGUUACGGUGAAAUUAUUUGCUACUUCGUACUAACCACUCAUCAACAGCAAGAAAUAUUUAUUAUCAUUUUUUAUGAAACUAUAAAUAGGACUUGCUGUAAGUUGAAAUACGGUUCGGUUAGGGGAACCUGAUCGGGAUAUAUAGAUAUU
This 1335-nucleotide ribosomal RNA is filed under the name Metschnikowia drosophilae. Its description in RNAcentral is "small subunit ribosomal RNA". It matches the Rfam family "Bacterial small subunit ribosomal RNA". Lineage: Eukaryota; Fungi; Ascomycota; Pichiomycetes; Serinales; Metschnikowiaceae. The record is from RNAcentral.